UUUGUGAAAUUGUUGAAAGGGAAGCGCUUACAACCAGACUUGCGCGCGGCGGUUCCCCCUUCCUUUUGGUUGGGCUACUCCGUCGUGUCCAGGCCAACAUCGGUUCUGGGGGUCGGUUAAAGACCUUGGGAAUGUACCUACCCUUCGGGCGUAGACUUAUAGCCCAGGGUGUCAUGCGACCUCCCGGGACCGAGGAACGCGCUUCGGCUCGGAUGUUGGCGUAAUGGUUGUCAGCGACCCGUCUUGAAACACAGACCAAGGAGUCA
This 266-nucleotide ribosomal RNA is filed under the name Exophiala sp. RNAcentral's name for it is "partial large subunit ribosomal RNA". It matches the Rfam family "Eukaryotic large subunit ribosomal RNA", at positions 396 to 676 of the family's 3401-position model. Lineage: Eukaryota; Fungi; Ascomycota; Eurotiomycetes; Chaetothyriales; Herpotrichiellaceae. The record is from RNAcentral.